This 629-nucleotide long non-coding RNA is filed under the name Homo sapiens (human). Its description in RNAcentral is "non-protein coding lnc-AVPR1B-1:1". The record is from RNAcentral. Lineage: Eukaryota; Metazoa; Chordata; Mammalia; Primates; Hominidae.
CUGCGCGGAACACCCAUCCUCCUGGGUCCUAGGCUGGGACCCGGGCUGUCCGCCAGGGCUGGGAGACACUGGAGGAGGCCGGCCGAUGAUUACGCGCGAUGCCAACGACGACUGCCCUACGGUGGACCGCGGCUGCCCGUGUGCGGAGGAAAGGGAGAGGCGGCUGGGUGCCGGCUGCGCUGCGGUCCGUGAGCCAGGACGGAGUCCCAGGCUGUACAGUGAUGGGCGGAGAGACUCGCAGUCCUGAGAAAUCGGUGCCCCAGUCCCUGGAGGAGCCUCCGCCAACUCCGCAGGACCCCGCCGGGAAGUAGAGCCCACCCCUUUACCAAUCACCGCCCGUUUUCUAUCGACCGAUGGGGCCCAUAGCCAAUAGGAAGAGCUGAUCCCGAGAGGCCCGGAAUGAGGGGGAGGAGCUGGCAAAACUUGGAGGUGUGACUAGCACUGCCGAGGCGUGGUCACAGAUUAAGCUCCACCCCGGGUUGUUGAACCCCUAAGUAGAACUGAUGGGCGGGAUUAAGGUGGAACCGACGACCAAACACAAACUCUUGAGCUAAGGCACGGCCAAUUGGGCCGGGGUAGAGAGGAGGGGUGUUGCGGGGAGUUUUAACCAAUAAAGAGUAGAGACCGGU